RNAcentral lists this ribosomal RNA (392 nucleotides) under uncultured bacterium. Its description in RNAcentral is "partial 16S ribosomal RNA". It matches the Rfam family "Bacterial small subunit ribosomal RNA", at positions 523 to 918 of the family's 1533-position model. The record is from RNAcentral.
AUACGUAGGGGGCGAGCGUUGUCCGGAUUUAUUGGGUUUAAAGGGUGCGCAGGCGGCCAUUUAAGUCAGCGGUUAAAUCGUGGGGCUCAACCCCAUUCUGCCGUUGAUACUGGGUGGCUUGAUUGCGGUCGAGGUUGGCGGAAUUCGUUGUGUAGCGGUGAAAUGCAUAGAUAUGACGAAGAACACCGAUUGCGUAGGCAGCUGACCAGACCGCAAAUGACGCUCAUGCACGAAAGUGCGGGGAUCGAACAGGAUUAGAUACCCUGGUAGUCCGCACAGUAAACGAUGAAUACUUGUUUUCGGCGAUAUAAUGUCGGAGGCAAAGCGAAAGCGAUAAGUAUUCCACCUGGGGAGUACGCCGGCAACGGUGAAACUUAAAGGAAUUGACGGGG